ACACAAAAACAAAGCUUCCCUUUUGCCAUUACAAGAACAAAAUCAAAGCCAAACCACAAAAGCUCCAAUGGCUAUGAACAAACGCGUCCUCGUCCUCGUUCUCGUCUUCGUUCUUCUUUGUUCUUUCUCAAACAAAGUUAUUGCAUCAAGAAGCUUGGGAGUGCCUCAAAUUAAGAAAGAUGAUCAUAAGCUUAAAGGAAAUGAUGAUCUUGCAGUUCAUGAGGAAGAACAUUUUUCAAGCACAGAUGAUUUGGGCGCAAUGGAUUAUACUCCAGCGUCCAAGAAGCCUCCAAUCCACAAUUGAGAGUUUAUUUCAUUAGUAAUUUGUAUGAUAUUUUUACAUCUGCCUUUCUCCUUUUUAUAUUUUUUGGUUAAAGUGAAGCUUCUAGUAAUGAAUUAUAUAGAAAUGGAAGAUAUGAGCAAACCAUGAAACAAUGGGGUUUCUUA
Long non-coding RNA from Cucurbita moschata (crookneck pumpkin), 447 nucleotides. RefSeq lists it as uncharacterized. The record is from RefSeq and is a predicted model, not a curated record. The transcript is spliced from 2 exons. Lineage: Eukaryota; Viridiplantae; Streptophyta; Magnoliopsida; Cucurbitales; Cucurbitaceae.